This 549-nucleotide ribosomal RNA is filed under the name uncultured Glomus. Its description in RNAcentral is "SSU rRNA". It matches the Rfam family "Eukaryotic small subunit ribosomal RNA", at positions 548 to 1098 of the family's 1831-position model. The record is from RNAcentral. Lineage: Eukaryota; Fungi; Glomeromycota; Glomeromycetes; Glomerales; Glomeraceae.
UUGGAGGGCAAGUCUGGUGCCAGCAGCCGCGGUAAUUCCAGCUCCAAUAGCGUAUAUUAAAGUUGUUGCAGUUAAAAAGCUCGUAGUUGAAUUUCGGGAUCGACGGGUCGGUCGCGCCUCCGGUGUGUACUGGCCCUGUCGGUUUCUCCCUUCUGACGAACCACGAUGUCAUUAAUUUGAUGUCGUGGGAAAUCAGGACUGUUACUUUGAAAAAAUUAGAGUGUUUAAAGCAGGCAUUCGCUUGAAUACAUUAGCAUGGAAUAAUGAAAUAGGACGUUUGAUCUUAUUUUGUUGGUUUCUAAGAUCGACGUAAUGAUUAAUAGGGAUAGUUGGGGGCAUUAGUAUUCAAUUGUCAGAGGUGAAAUUCUUGGAUUUAUUGAAGACUAACUACUGCGAAAGCAUUUGCCAAGGAUGUUUUCAUUAAUCAAGAACGAAAGUUAGGGGAUCGAAGACGAUCAGAUACCGUCGUAGUCUUAACCAUAAACUAUGCCGACUAGGGAUCGGAUGAUGUUAAUUUUUUAAUGACUCAUUCGGCGCCUUACGGGAAAC